Camelus dromedarius (Arabian camel) is the source of this 697-nucleotide long non-coding RNA. RefSeq lists it as uncharacterized. NCBI's taxonomy places the organism in Eukaryota, Metazoa, Chordata, Mammalia, Artiodactyla, Camelidae. The record is from RefSeq and is a predicted model, not a curated record. The transcript is spliced from 6 exons.
CCAGGCUGGACCACAAUUUCAUCCUUUUCAAAGGAGAUGAAUUCUAGAAUUGGUGUUAAGACAUCAUAACCCUAACAAAUUUCAGGUUGCUCAAUCCCAAGACAAAGAGCUCUUGGAUAAUGGAAUAGAAAAAGGGUUAAAGAAUGGUUUAGAACUAAUUCAAGAAAGAACAAUUCGAUUCCUACUUGGAGAAGGACACAGAGACUGAAUCAGAUGGGGCUGUGGAGCCUGGGGAGGAAAUUGUGAUGACUGUGCAGGUCAUCUGCAAUCUGCAUUUCGAAAAACAGUUCCUGGAAUUGCUGCUGCUUUGUCCCUGCUUGGAAGAUUCAAUCUUUUGGACUGCCAUGGGACUAGAUUCUGGCCAGAAUGGAGCAGAAGAGACAGGAUGUCUACUUAAAGGUACUGUGGGAUGAGAAACCACGAGGAGGAAAAGCAAAUCACAGAACAGAAGCCCCGGUGGACUGUCAGGCACCGAGCGGGAGGUCCAGAUGACCCAGCUGAUGACAUCCUUGGUGUCUAGGAACACAAGGGAGAAUCUAUCUGCUGGCAGGAAGAGAAAAAAGAAUGUACACAAGGUACUGUAUAUUUGCAAUUUUUUUUUAAACACUGGAGACAGGAAAUGUUUGAGUUAGAGUGGUAAUGCUAAAAUGUCUGGGUGCAUGUUCUUUAUUAUUGCAUGCAAAAGUUGCAUUUAAAA